UAUGUGAAGAGGCUAACGGACGACAAUGCUGGUGGCCUCGUUGGCGCACCAUGGACGUCUCCGCUGCUGGCAAACGGCAAAAAAAGGAUUGGCCGAUCCAGUCGAGCAAGCUAUGGAAGAACAACUCGACUUAUGUAUGCUUUUUUUUAUCUAAUAUGGCUGAUUGUACC
Non-coding RNA from Triticum urartu, 170 nucleotides. The record is from RefSeq and is a predicted model, not a curated record. Lineage: Eukaryota; Viridiplantae; Streptophyta; Magnoliopsida; Poales; Poaceae.